CCCUUAGAUGUUCUGGGCCGCACGCGCGCUACACUGAUGCAUUCAACGAGUUUCUUCCUGGUCCGAGAGGAAUGGGUAACCUUUUGAAAGUGCAUCGUGAUAGGGAUAGACUAUUGCAAUUAUUGGUCUUCAACGAGGAAUUCCUAGUAGACGUAGUUCAUCAGACUGCAUCGAUUACGUCCCUGCCCUUUGUACACACCGCCCGUCGCUCCUACCGAUUGAAUGCUCAGGUGAGCCAUUCGUACUUUCAUCAUGCUGGUUUCCAGUUUUGAUGAAGGAAAGUCUUGCGAACCUUAUCAUUUAGAGGAAGGAGAAGUCGUAACA
This 324-nucleotide ribosomal RNA is filed under the name uncultured eukaryote. RNAcentral describes it as "partial 18S ribosomal RNA". It matches the Rfam family "Eukaryotic small subunit ribosomal RNA", at positions 1470 to 1796 of the family's 1831-position model. The record is from RNAcentral.